Non-coding RNA from Sturnus vulgaris (Common starling), 154 nucleotides. The record is from RefSeq and is a predicted model, not a curated record. Lineage: Eukaryota; Metazoa; Chordata; Aves; Passeriformes; Sturnidae.
AAACCGUGAUCUGUGCUGGGCUGCUCCAGGGUGAGCUCCCUGUUCCCUGAGCAGUUCAGCUUCAGGACUGAAGGUUGGCAGAGGGAUGUGCAGAUAUUGCUGUUUUCUGCUGUUAAAUAUAAUUUUGGGCAACCUCUUGCACACAGCAGCCUCU